This is an RNA transcript of Daucus carota subsp. sativus, 2104 nucleotides long. It is a transcript of the gene named ran-binding protein 1 homolog c-like, with no coding region annotated. Lineage: Eukaryota; Viridiplantae; Streptophyta; Magnoliopsida; Apiales; Apiaceae. The transcript is spliced from 6 exons. The record is from RefSeq and is a predicted model, not a curated record.
CCUGAAGACCAUUCAUGAGCCUGGCAGGCUUCCAUUGUAGGCAACAACAUCUAACAGCCUGACUCGGCCUAAAAAUCUUGUUUGUCAGGCACAUUAUCUCCAAAAUACUCGCCAAACUCGUGUAAAUCAAAUUUAGCAGUUUACACAUUCCAUAUGUUAUAAGAGCAUCUCCAAGAGUCUCCUUGUUGGCUCCUAAAUAUAAUAUAAAAAAUGUGGCUCUUAGUAAUUUAGGACAAAGUUAAGAGUGUAAACUCCAACAAUACUCUCUACAUCUCUUCUCUAUUUCAUAUUUUAUUCAUAUAUUGGGCUCCACUAUAACAAAAGAGAGGGAAAGAUGGAGGUUGAUUGGAGAGAAAGAUUUUUUUAUUGUGAAAAAAUAAGUUAGGAGCCAUGUGGUGGCUCUUAACUUUGAGGAGAGAGGAGAGAGAAACAAGAGACUCUUAAGAUUUAAGAGCCACUUAAGAGUCUCUUGGAGCAACAUUUUGCUUCUCCCUCCUCAAAAUUCAAGUUAGGAGCCUAAAUGAAGAGCCUCUUGGAGAUGCUCUAAUGUACAGUUGCGCAUUUAAGUUUGUAUUGAGAUAAGGUCGUCAUUUGAUUGAUUCCAGCUUUUAUUUAUGAAUAUGGGAAUUACGUUUAGUUGUUAUGAUAUAUUUAGCUGUUUAUUUAUGUUUCACAUUUUUGGCGUUCGCGACAACUUGGAUUUAUUUCAGAUUAAAACCUUGUUGGUAUAGAAAUGAUGCACUUUGCAAAGGAUUUAAUGUGCCCUGUGGAUAUGUUCAAAUUAUGGGUGGGGUCAUCAUCUUGCUCGAUAGACUAUUAUGCUUUGCUACUGAUGCCAGAAGGAAUCAAUAUCUAUACAUUCUUGUAAUAAUUACGUUGUUAUUGUUGCAUACAUGUAUAUUUUCAACUGGCCAAGUACCAGGAACAGUCCUAUUAUGAAUAAUGUCUGAUUACACUUCCUAUAUCAUGUUGCUGGUCAUCCUCAUCCUGUUAUGAUAGAUGCCCAAUUCAGGGAAAUAAUUGUGGGAAAUGGCGCGCAUACGGCUCUGAGAUCUAAUGGCCUUAAAGAGUGCAGGGGUAGAAGGUGUAAUGGUUCAUGCUUGGUGGGGGUUGGUAGAAAAAGAGGGACCUCUUAAGUGCAACUAGGAAGGGUUUGCUGAGCCUGUUAAUCUGGUUCAACAACAUGGCUCCAAGCUCCCAGUUGUCAUGUCUUUGCACCAAUGUGGAGGGAACGUGGGCGACACUUGCAGGUACCCAUAUCUUACCAGCAACAAAUGUAGCGCAGCUCUGAUUUCACAGAAACCUUAUGUCGCAACUCAGUAAAUCGAAGCUGUAUAGGUUUGAUAAAGACGGAAGCCAGUGGAAAGAGAGGGGUGCUGGUACUGUGAAGUUUUUGAAGCACGAGGAGACGGAAAAGGUUCGAUUUGUUAUGCGCCAAUCGAAGACUCUCAAGAUCUGUGCUAAUCAUUUAGUUGUGCCUGGUAUGACUGUUCAGGAACAUGACGGGAAUGAGAAGUCAUGUGUUUGGCACGCAACUGAUUUUGCUGAUGGUGAACUUAGGGAUGAGCUAUUCUGCAUCAGAUUUGGAUCCAUUGAGAGGACCUUAAUACCAUGUUAUUGCCGCUGAUAAAGCCCGCUGGACAUGUAGCCAGGAAGCCUGCCAAUGGACGGACACAACGGUUGGAAUAGCUAUAGUCCAUUGCCCAUCAGAGGCGGAAGGCCACAAGCCGCGCACUCCAGGAUGGUAACAAUAAGUAUCAGGUGCAGGUCGUCUGCUAAUUCGCCUGGUUCAGUCGGACCGCACACAAACCUCCACCUCGACAACAAUCCAUUACUAGAUGCGACAAAUUAUAAGAGGCAAGCUGUCUGUAACCCAGGCAGAAAGGGGCCAGCGGGGAAUAUUUUUGCCUCACAAAUAAACAGUUCUGCUUCAUUUUCUGACCAUUGUUCUUUUACUGUGGUGCGGAAUAGUGGCAUUACAUGUAUAUGCAGUAAGCAGGGAUGCUAAUAUACCUAUGCGUGCCCUCUCAGUUCGAGUGGCAUUCAUUGGGUAACUAUCAAAAUAAUGAUAGAUGAUCCCCGUCACAAUUUGGUGGAUAAACUA